CUUCCGGUGCUGCCAGUCCGUGGGUCGUGAAGGGGGUUUUUGUAAACAUGGCGUUUUCCCCGAACGUUUUGCUGGGCGGGCGUGUCUGCGCAGCGGUUGCUCGCAGUGGGUUUGCUACCCGGAGGGUGACCAUCCCGGGCUCUACCAGCCGAGAGCCGGACCCCGAUUUCGACUGGGAACCGGAGGAGCGAGAACUGCAGGAGGUGGAGAGGUACCGACUCCUUCCCGGGCCCUCAGCCUGAAGCAGGGCCUCGGUCUGGGCGCCCUUGUCCGCGCCCGGUUGGCGCUGGGCGUCCUGCAGCAGCCCUUCUCACCCGUUUUUAGGGACGCAGGGGCAGGUGUUAGAUCCUUUGGGACCACAGGUCCUUUCACCAAGGACGUAUUUCAUCACCCGACUGAAGAAUUCAGCAACAGCUUAUGGGCUGCUGUUCUUGGUGUUAGACUUCUGGGGCGGUGUUCUGGCUGGCCGACAUGGCCACGUAGUGUUUGCAAAGUGAAGUGCGCUGGACGCUCUGUGACUGACCCCAAGGCUCUUAAACCACCCAUCUAGCGUCUAUGCAUGGUUUCUGCCAUUGGUUCUCUCCCCCAGCGCCCUGAAACGACAGAAAAAAGCCAUCCGGUUCCAGAAAAUUCGAAGGCAAAUGGAGGCGUCAGGUGCCCCACCCAGGACCCUGACGUGGGAAGCCAUGGAGCAGAUCCGGUAUUUACACAGGGAAUUUUCAGAGUCUUGGUCAGUUCCCAGAUUGGCUGAAGGCUUUGAUGUCAGCACCGAUGUGAUCCGAAGGGUUUUAAAAAGCAAGUUCAUACCCACAUUGGAACAGAAACUGAAACAGGAUCAAAAAGUGCUUAAGAAAAUCGGACUUGCCCGUUCGAUCCCGGAGCUCCCAGGCCCUGGAGAUUCCUCCAAACCGCUUUCUGCAGGCCAGUCUGUAUCAGGUUCUUUGCUGAUUCCUGGGGAUGAAGCCUCAUCCAGAGGCCAUGGUCACAGCACAGCUUUGAAAGCUAUUGAAUUGAAUACUCAGAGUACAAAUAUAACAACGAGGCAGACGGAAAGGAAUAAAGGAGUCCAGGGCCUGGAGGAGGGGAAGGACUUUGUGCCUGUUGCUGCAGGUCACCCUACCAGCACUUGUAGGGGCGCCAGAGGAAUUGACAGUGAUGGAUUACCCAGUGACAAGAGGCUGGAAGAGCUGAAGGCAGGGGAGGCAGGUGACCAGAUCUUCAGCAAGAGAGUCGUGCAGAGGGGACGAGAGUUCUUUGACAGCAAUGGGAACUUCCUGUACAGAAUCUGAGCUGGAGAUGUGCCAUGUGACACACAGCUGGGCGAGUAUAUUUGGUUCUGAAGCCUGGGUUUCUGUGUGUGGAUUUCCACCUUGGAAGUGGGGGGGAACCAUGAGCCUGGAAUGUGGGAUGAAAGGUUUGAAUCUGACAAAGGGCAGAGGACUUCACAGGGCAGAUGUGUCUGGGAGCAGGGCAGUGACCCGCCAGGUAGAGUCCAGCUUCCUGGAGCACAGCCCCUGCUCUGACCCACAUGCAUCGUCAGGAUUCACCCUUCUCCCUUGGGCUGUGUGUGUGCUGAAAAACCUGUAUUGCAUGUGUUGUUACAAGUUUCUGUGAUACUUGCAGUAUAUUUGGGAGGAGAUUAAGUUUGUUUUCUCACCUCAUUUACUUCUUGAUUAAUGAACACUUGACGGUUCUGGAACUGCUUAGUCAAUUGGUUGUCCUCAUUAUGUGCAAAAUAAAGCAAAAUGAAGCA
This 1753-nucleotide unclassified non-coding RNA is filed under the name Bos taurus (domestic cattle). RNAcentral describes it as "neugrin, neurite outgrowth associated, transcript variant 1". The record is from RNAcentral. Lineage: Eukaryota; Metazoa; Chordata; Mammalia; Artiodactyla; Bovidae.